UGGCUUUUUACCAUGAAUAUAGUAGUUAUUAUUGAAGCACACUUUCCUCUAGAACAUUGCUACACAAACAGUGGUACAGGGGCCAGGUACAUUAGUAUCAUAUGUGAUCUUCUUAAAAAUGGAAAAUAUUGGUCCUGACCCCAGAUUUAAAAAGUUACAGCCUUCAUUUUAACAAGAUCUCCACUGCAGAUUUAGGUGCACAUGAACAUUUGAGAAGCACUGCCCUAGGUGUCUUACCCCUAGAGAACAGGUGCAUACACUGGUCAUUCUCUGAUUUCUCUCAGUGCUUAAUACACUUCUUGUGCCAUAAGGUUCUAAUGAUUUGUUAACUAAAUUUCUUAAAACAAAUUCUAAAAACUGAAAAUGCACUCAUACUUUAUUUUUAAUUUUUUCUUGAGAUAAAAUUUACAUUACAUAAAAUUCACAAUUUUAACCAUUUUAAAGUGUACAAUUCAGUGGGAUUUAGUAUAUUUACAAUACUGUAAAACUAACAUCACUAUUUAAUCUAUUUAAUUCCAGAAGAUUUCCUUCAUCCUAAAAAGAAAUUCUAUACCUUCCAGUAUCCCUUCCCCCCACCUCUUGGUAAGAACUACCUUGCUUUCUGUCUCUGUGGAUUUGCCUCUUCUGUACGUUUCAUAUGAAUGGAAUGAUACAUUGAUACAUUAUGUGGCCUUCCUUUUGUGGCUUCUUUCACUUAGCAAAAUGUUUUCAAGGUUCAUCUAUAAAACUUUAUUCCUUUUUAUGGCUAAAUAAUAUUCCAUUGCAUAAAUAUACCACAUUUUAUUUAUCCAUUCAUCAGUUGGCAGGCAUUUGGGUUGUUUUUACUUUUCGGCUAUUAUGAAUAUUGAUAUUCAUACGAAGAUUUGUGUACAAAUUUUUAUGAGAACAUGGUUUUUAAUUUUGGAGGAGUAUAUUCGCAGGAGUGGAACUACUAGGUCCUAUAGUAACUAUAUAUUUAACUUUGAGGAACUGCAAAACUAUUUUCAAUAGCAGCUGCACCAUUUUACAUUCCCACUAGCAAUGUACAGGAACUAAAAUUGUUUAUACCCUUGCCAACUCUUGUUAUUUUUCAUUUUAAAAAAAUUAUACCCAUUCUAGUGAGCAUGAAGUGCUACCUCAUUAUUGGUUUUAUUUUUAGUAGAGAUGGAGUAUCACUAUGUUACCCAGGCUGGUCUCCAACUCCUGGGCUCAAGUAACCCUCCUGCCUUGGCCUCCCAAAGCACUGGAAUUAUAGGGGUGAGCCACCACACCUGGCCCAUUGUAGUUUUGCUUUGCAUUUCCCUAAUGACUAAUGAUGCUGAGCAUAUCUCCAGGUUCUUACUGGCCAUACCUUCUUUGGAGAAAUGUUUAUUAAAAAGCAUUGCCCAUUCUUAACUGUUACUCGUCUAUCGUUGAGUUGUAGGAGGUCUUUAUAUAUUCGGAAUACUAGACGUUUAGCAGACAUAUGAUUUGCAAAUAUUCUCUCCCAUUGUGUGGGCUGUCUUUUCACUCAAUUAAUAGUUUCUUUUGAUACACAACUUUUAAAUUUUUGAUGAAAUAAAAAUUAUCCAUUUUUUUAUUUUGAUAUAUAUGGUUUUGGUGUCAUAUUUAGGUAACCACUGCUUAGUCCAAGUUCACAAAGAUAUACAUCUAUGUUUCCUUCUCAGAAUUUGGUAGUUUUAGUGCUACAUUUAGGUCCCUGAUUCUUUUUGGGUUAAUUUUUGUAUAUGGUGUAAUAUAGGGGUUCAGCUUCAUUAUUUUGCACCUGGAUAUCCAGUUGUCCUAGCACCAUUUGUUGAAAAAACUAUUCUUUCCCUAUUAAAUGGUCUUGACACCAUUGCAGAAAUAAGUUGACUGUAGAUGGACGGACUCAUUUCUGGAUUCUCACUUCUAUUGCAUUGAGAUUACAUAGAUAGAUAGGUAGAUAGACAGACAGAUGAUAGAUAGAUAGAUAGAUAGAUAGAUAGAUAGAUAGAUAGAUGAUAGAUAGAUAGAUAAAUAGACAGGUAGACAUAGAGAUAUCUUAUGCCAAUACCACACUGUUUGAAUACCAUUGUUUUGAAAUUGAAAAGUGUGAAUGCUCUGACUUUGUCCUUCUUUUUAAAGAGUUUUGGCCAUUUUUGGUCCCUUGCAAUUCCAAAUGAGUUUUAAUAUCAGCUUGUCAUAUAAGAUCAUGUCAUCUGCAAAUAGGGAUAGUUUUAUUUCUUCCUUUCCUGUGUGGAUGCAUUUUGUUUCUUUUUUCUUUUCUUUUUCCCCCUAAUUCCCUGGGUAAAAUUUCAAAUGCAAAGUUGAAAGGAAGUGACAACAAUGGACAUCCUUGCCUUUUUCCUGAUUUUAGAAGAAAAGCUUUCAGACUUUCAACAUUAAGUAUGAUGUUAGGUGUGGGUUUCUUAUAGAAACCCUUUAUUAAAUUGAGAAUGUCUUCCUUAUUCCCAGUUUGCUAAGUGUUUUUAUCAUGAAAGCAUAUUGGAUUUUGUCAAAUGCUUUCUCUUUGUCUAUUGAAGUGAUCACAUGUAUUGUUUCUUUCAUUUUAUUAAUAUGGUGUAUUACAUUGAUUAAUUUUUAAAUGUUGAACUACCCUUGCAUUCCUGGGAUAAAUUUCACUUGGUAAUGGCGUAUAAUCCUUCCAAUGUUCUGCUGUAGUCGGUUUAUUAGUACUUUGUUGAAGAUUUUUGCAUGUAUAUACAUUAGGGAUAUUAGGCUGUAGUGUUUUUCUUAAAAAAAAGCUACAUGUUUUCGGCAUUGUAUUGAAGUAGUAUUAGCCUCAUGAUAUGAGUUAAAAAUCAUUCCUUCCUCUUCGUUUUUUUUUUUUUUUUUUUUGGAAGAGUGAGAAGGAUUAGUCUUAACCCUCCUUUUAAUAUUUGGUAAAAUUCACCAGUGAAGCCAUUUUGCUCCUGAACUUUUCUUUUGGGAAGUUUUACGAUUAUUAAUCCAACUUCCUUAUUUGUUAUAUGUCUAUUCAGAUUUUCUAUUUCUUCUGAGUCAGUUUCAGUAGUUUGUGCCUUUCUAGGAAUUUGUCUGUAUUAUCUAAGUUAUGUAACUUUUUGCCAUACAGUUGUUCAUAGCAUCCUCUUAUAAUUAUUUUCACCUCUGUAAGGUCAGUAAAAAUGUCCUUAAUUUCAUUCCUGACUUCUUGCUACUUUCAAAAUUAUCUUUGUCUUUUUCUUUCAAUAGUUUGAUUAUGAUUUGUCUAGGGGUAAAUCUCUUUGAGUUUAUCCUGUUGGGUUUUGUUAAAUUUCUUGGGUGUGUAGAUUAAUGUGUUUCAACAAAUUUGGGGAGUUUUGAGCCAUUAUUUAUUUAAAUAUUCUUCUGCCUUUUUUCUCUUCCCUCUCCUUCUAGGACUCCUCUUAUGUGUAUGUUGGUAUAUAUGAUGAUGUCUCACAGAUCUCUCAUGCUGUAUUCAUUUUUUUCUUUAUUCUCUUUCUGCUCCUCAGAUUGGAUAAUCUUAAUUGAUUUAUCUUCAAAUUAACUGAUAUUUUCUUCUGCCUGCCCAAUCUUCAGUUGAUGAAUUUUUCAUUUUAGUUAUUGUACAUUUCAACUCUUAAAUUUCUAUUUGGUAUCUUUUAAUAAUUUCUAUCCCCUUAUUUCUAGUCUCUAUUUUAUGAGAUGUUUUCGUGCUUUUCUUUUUCUAAGCAGGAUUUCCUGUAGCUCUUUGAACAUAUUUAAAAUAGCUACUUUAAAGUCUUUGUCUUACAAGUCUAAUGUCUGGGCUUUCUUAGGAGCCAGUUAUAUUAAUUGCUAUUUUUUCUGUGUAUGGGCCAUAUUUUCCUGUUUCUUUUCGUGCCCCCAAAUUUUUGUUGCAAAUUUGACAAGUUGGAUAUUACAGCAUGGAAACUCUGGAAAUCAGAUUCUUCCCCUCUUCGGAGUUUGCUUUUUCUGCUUGUUGUAGUUGUUGUUUAUAUUUUAGUGAUUUUUUAAAACUAGUUUUAAAAAAUUAAGCUAAUUUACAAAACUAGUUUUAAAAAAUCACUAAAAUUAAUUCUGUAUUAUUUGUCAUGUGUGCCCCCUGAAGUCUCUGUUCCAUUAGCUUAGUCAUCAGCUAAAGAUUUAACAAAGAUUUCUAUAAAUAUCCUGAACAAAAAAAUUUCCCAAUCUUUGCAGAAGUGUCUGUUUUGAUGCAUGACUUCAAUAUUCAGCCUGGCAAUUUACAACUCAGCUAUAGCUUUCACUUUCUGAUUGCACAGAGCCUGAGGAUCAGCCAGAGGGGAAAAAAUAUUUGCCUGUAAAUGUUUUUGAGCAACGGUUUCCAAGUAGUGGCUUUAGUCCUGGGUGACUUCUGACUUAGGUAAGAUAAAACAAAUCUUUUGAGCCAACCUUCCAAGGAACCACCAGGCAGACCAAGGACGAUCUUUGCAAAAGAGGUCUAUUCUGCUUCUUCAGUGCUGGAACUGGCAAUGCAGGCUUCUAUUGUCAAGGCUACUGCUGAGCUGAGGAAAAAAGGAUAGAACUAGUGUAAGUUAAAACACCACAAAGCUCACUAUAAUUAUAAAGAUUCAGCAGUUUUUCUUGAAUAAAUGCUCCGUGGGUUGUUGCAAGCUUUUGUUAGUUUUCAGCAUUCCAAAAAUAUUGAUUCUGACAGGUUUUUUUCCCCAUUUUUUAGUUGAUUUUAAUGAGGGAUAGACUUUUAGAGUUGCUUACCCUGCCUCUUGUGCUGACGUCAUUCCUCUGCACACAUACUUUUAAUCAGAAUGAGUCAGGUACAUAAAGGAGCAAAUGCAUUAUAGGUCAACAGGUUGCUUUCCAAAUUGUCUCUUCAAAUUCUCUUUCUUUAUGAGAAAAUAUUUUGCUGAGACUUGCUUCUUAAGAAAAUGACCUGUGAUUUAUAUCGUGAUUCAAAUUUUAUGUUGCAAAUCUUCAUAUGAGCAAACGCAUCUCUGAAGAGAUCCAGUGAGAGAGUUGCUCAAUCAUCAAGAUGAAACGAGAGCGCCAGGCCAGGAUGAAAAUAAACUAGUGAUGAACAAGAAGAAAGAUAGAUGAUAUUUAUUGAGACUAUCCAGAGCUGAAGAUACAGCAGUCAUCAAAGCAUAGAAAUUCUUCACUCUCAAGGACCUUACAUUCUAGUAAGAGAAGAAGAAAAUAAAUAAACUCUGUUCUCUCUGUUCUGUCAUCUAUAAAGAGCCACAGUAUGCUGAUGAUUUGGUUUAACCUUACUUGACCUCAGUUUCUUCAUGUGACAGGUAAAGCCAACAAGAAUUGCUUAACGGGUCGAAUGUGGGAGAAAGAAAAUGAAGAAUUUUCUCACAGACUAGCUUCUGGUAAUGAAGCCGAGCACCACUUCAUGAGCUGGGCACCAUAAGAUAGGUUCAUAUCCUGAUAUGAACUCUGGCUCUGCAUCUUCAUGUCAACAUAUCUGAUCCAAAUCUUUUGUGAGUUAUAUGAGUAGUUAUUAUAUCAAGAAUUCUUCCUGUAAAGAAAUAAUCCAUCCUCCACUCAGUCCACCUCUUAUAUCACACUUCAGGUCCUACAAAAUGUUCGGCAUUUUCCCAACUACAUCCACCUCCUUGGCACAUUAAAAUGAGUGUUGUACCAAAUGCCCAUCAAUGAUAGACUGGAUAAAGAAAAUGUGGCACAUAUACACCAUGGAAUAUUAUGCAGCCAUAAGAAAGAAUGAGUUCAUGUCCUUUGCAGGGACAUGGAUGAAGCUGGAAGCCAUCAUUCUCAGCAAACUAACACAGGAAUAGAAAACCAAACACCGCAUGUUCUCACUCAAAAGUGGGUGUUGAACAAUGAGAACACAGGGAGCGGAACAUCACACACCAGGGCCUGUAGGGGGUGGGGGGCAAGGAAAGGGAGAGCAUUAGGACAAACACCUAAUGCAUGCGGGGCUUAAGACCUAGAUGAUGGGUUGAUGGAUGCAGCAAACCACCAUGGCACAUGUAUACCUAAGUAACAAACCUGCACAUUCUGCCCAUGUAUCCCAGAACUUAAAAUAAAAAAAAAAUUAAAAAG
This 5928-nucleotide long non-coding RNA is filed under the name Homo sapiens (human). Its description in RNAcentral is "HSALNT0282180". The record is from RNAcentral. Lineage: Eukaryota; Metazoa; Chordata; Mammalia; Primates; Hominidae.